This is a long non-coding RNA of Girardinichthys multiradiatus, 580 nucleotides long. RefSeq lists it as uncharacterized. The transcript has 4 exons. NCBI's taxonomy places the organism in Eukaryota, Metazoa, Chordata, Actinopteri, Cyprinodontiformes, Goodeidae. The record is from RefSeq and is a predicted model, not a curated record.
CUGCUCCACCAGCAGCUGGAGCUGCUCCUCCGUCAGAGACAUGUGGAAACGCUCCUUCAGGCCCCGGAUGGUGCUGGAGCCGUGGAAACAGGGCAAGUGGGAACCUGGUGGGAAAACAACAAAGAACGGCUUUACGGCAACACAUUGCUUCCUUGUGUGACAUCAUGGAAAAAAAAAAAAUCAGCCAAGAUAUCAGGCAGAGGAUUGUGGACAUUCACAAGCCUGCUUAAUCUUUGGGUACGAUUUCCAGAUCCAGAAGGUGAAACGUUCAAGUAUAAAAGCCAUGCGAAUGUCUGGAGAUCAUACUGUUCAGAAAGGAGACAGGUUCUGUGUUCCCAGAGAUGAACAUGUAUGGGUGCAAAAUGUGAAUAUCAACCCCACAACAAAAGUAAAAGCCUGUUGCAAAGAUGUGAAGUUGAGAUCACAGAAGACCCGUUUCAGCUGCAGGAAUGCUCCAGCUUCCCAGAACUGAAGGUUCAUCUCACCUGUCCUUGACCUGCAGCAGGUAACAAAUGAGGCUGUAUCCAGCGCAGCUCUGAACAAAGUUCCUCUGAGCUGUGAGGAACGCUUCAGUGGUGAA